UAAAUAUCAGAUGUUUGUUUACACGAUAACUUUGUCUAAAAAGUUCUGGUGCUAAAUCAAAAGGAUUAGUGCAGUUACGAAAUUCUCUCUCUCUCUCUGAAAUGCUCUGUUUUCGGCUUCGAACAGCAAAAAUAAAUCGAUGGCAUCCAUCUUUGUUUUAGUUUACAGCAGCUAUGUAGCUGAGGUAAACUACAAUAAUGACAAUUACAACAAUGACGUCACAAUCCAACCGUACAACGUCAUCGCGGUAGGACUACGAAAAUACUACUUUUCAUGUACUUUAAGGUAUCUUGUUACGCUUCGCCCCCAAGGGAACUACUGCGCGGUACUAGGACCUCGAGAAUGGCUGCCUAAAUCAUAAAUGUAAAACAUUUGUCCUUACAUUACUUUGUUUAAUUGAAAAAGAAUUUUGCUUUUUUCGUAAAUAAUUAUAAUUUCAAUUGGGAUUUUGCUAUGAAUACGAAAUACAAGAUACUCUACUUAAAAUAAAAUUAAACAAUUCGAAUUUGUUUAAAAAUUUUUAUCUCAUCCUUAAAUAAUUAAAAUGUUAACCAAAAUUACUUUCGUAGUUUCAAAAAUAACGGAACAUUUUAUUUUCAAGUAUAUUAUCGAUCAAUUUAUGAAAAAC
Molecule: long non-coding RNA, 628 nt
Filed under: Androctonus crassicauda
Lineage: Eukaryota; Metazoa; Arthropoda; Arachnida; Scorpiones; Buthidae
Source: RNAcentral